This 305-nucleotide ribosomal RNA is filed under the name uncultured bacterium. Its description in RNAcentral is "bacterial SSU rRNA". It matches the Rfam family "Bacterial small subunit ribosomal RNA", at positions 336 to 659 of the family's 1533-position model. The record is from RNAcentral.
UUCCUACGGGGCGCAGCAGUGGGGGAUAUUGCACAAUGGGGGAAACCCUGAUGCAGCGACGCCGCGUGAGCGAUGAAGUAUUUCGGUAUGUAAAGCUCUAUCAGCAGGGAAGAAAAUGACGGUACCUGACUAAGAAGCCCCGGCUAACUACGUGCCAGCAGCCGCGGUAAUACGUAGGUGGCAAGCGUUAUCCGGAAUGAUUGGGCGUAAAGGGUGCGUAGGCGGCAAAAUAAGUCUGAAGUAAAAGGCGUUGGCUCAACCAACGUAAGCUUUGGAAACUGUUAAGCUAGCGUGCAGGAGAGGUU